CAAGAUCUUAUGUCAGGGUCUCAGGGGUGGGGGAGACAAACGAUGAAAAAGAAGGUAGUGCCAGUGGCAGCCAGGCCUAGAGGGCAAACUCAGCCUUUACUCCUGGCAGCGUUGAGGAAGUUCUAACUAGGGAGGAAUUUGGUCUGUUUAUAUUUUUAAGGAUAAAGGUUUCCUACUGGUGAAUGGUUAUAACUAUUUGCUGUUCUGAUGUCUGAACAAUUGAAUCUUAGGGCUUUCGUACACAUUUUUCUUAUUGAGUGAGGCAAGGCAUAUAGGUUUUCGUGUUAUUUCUGUUUCACUCUGUGUGCGUGAGUUGCCUGUAGUCUUUGUCCUUUGGGGUGCUUGCUUGUCUUGAAGAUUCCUUACACACUUUCUGCUGAGGCUACAGCUCAGGGGUGGAACACUAGUCUAGCACACACAAAGCCUCCAGCACACACACCCCAAAUCUGUUACAAAUUGGAAGAUAUGAAGCCUUUGCAGUCUGUACCCAUGUGUCUCUGAAUGCCCUUGUGACUGCACAGAAGGGCUGCUGAAGGAAUGUGACCUGUGCAUACACUGGCUUGUUGUCCCCUGCCUCGGGAUGUUUCUGGAGCAUCUGCUCUGUCAGCUGCUGUGGUACUAGCAGAACUGGACAGCAUGAGAUGAGAACUGAGGAAAACUCAGAAGAAAAGGGAUUCCAAGUCAUUGGCAAGUCAUUCCAAGGACUGGAGAGAUGACUCAGAUGGUUAAGAGUACUGUUGCUCUUGAAGUGGACCAGGGUUGGGUUCCCAGCACCCACGUGGUGGUUCACAGCCAUUCAGAACUUCAGUUCCAGGGGUUCUGAUGACUUCUUCUGACUUCCAUGGGCUCCAGGCACGUACAUGGUACACAUAUGUUCAUGCAGGAAAAACACUCAUGCACUUAAACUUGAAAACAAUAAUAAAAUAACCAAGACUUUCCAGCUGAUGGUUCCUCUACCUAGAAACGGCCAACCUUCAUUUCUUUCUCCAGCAAGGAGGACUUCACAACAGCUUAAGAACAAGGUGGGGAGGGAUCAGUAGCCAUAGUUUGAAAAACUACCCCCUCAAACACACACCUUUGUGCCAGAUAGAUUCACUACACAAGCAUUUACAAAUGUGACUCUGCCUUGGGCAUCAAGAAAUGGGCACAACAGCAUCCCCAGGUGUCACUGAAGUUCUCCCAAAUCCUG
Molecule: long non-coding RNA, 1189 nt
Filed under: Cricetulus griseus (Chinese hamster)
Lineage: Eukaryota; Metazoa; Chordata; Mammalia; Rodentia; Cricetidae
Description: lncRNA (ENSCGRG00015034844.1)
Source: RNAcentral